GGAGUGGGAGGAUUUUAGGGAGUAUAGAAGUUGGAUGAAAGAGUAGGGGGGGUUGGUGAAGACGAAUUAAAGUAUACGUGUUUGAAUGGUUGGGGGUUUUGUUUGUGUAGAUUACUAUAGUUGGAUAUAGCGGGAGGGUAUAUGUAGAGAUUGGGAGUAUUCAGCAAUGUUGUAAUGUCAUGAGGUUUUGGUUUGGUGGGGAAAGCGUGGAAGUUGAAGAUGAAAGAGAUGAGGAGAGGGGGGGAGUGGAGGCGUGAGUAGUGGUAUAGCGAUUCUAUUGAAAUGCGAAAAGAGCAAUAAGUUACCUUAAAUGAAUGACUGGACAUAUUUGAGGCAUUGGUGGGAGAUGAGGUCGUGCCCUUAGGGUGCUGAAUGGCAGGGGGAUGCAGGGGGGGUUAGUCAUCGCGAGUCGUGAGAUGUUGAGUUAAGUCCCGCGACGAGCGCAACCGUUAUUAUCAGUUGCCAGCAUUCAGUUGGGCACUCUGGUGAGACUGCCGGUGACAAACCGGAGGAAGGUGGGGAUGACGUCAAAUCAUCAUGCCCCUUAUGACCUGGGCUACACACGUGCUACAAUGGACGGUACAACGAGUUGCGAAGUCGUGAGGCUAAGCUAAUCUCUUAAAGCCGUUCUCAGUUCGGAUUGUAGGCUGCAACUCGCCUACAUGAAGUUGGAAUCGCUAGUAAUCGCGGAUCAGCAUGCCGCGGUGAAUACGUUCCCGGGCCUUGUACACACCGCCCGUCACACCAUGAGAGUUUGUAACACCCAAAGCCGGUGAGAUAACCUUCGGGAGUCAGCCGUCUAAGGGGGACAGAUAUUAGGGGAAGUCUACAGUGCAGCAAAA
Molecule: ribosomal RNA, 842 nt
Filed under: Levilactobacillus brevis
Lineage: Bacteria; Bacillati; Bacillota; Bacilli; Lactobacillales; Lactobacillaceae
Description: bacterial SSU rRNA
Rfam family: Bacterial small subunit ribosomal RNA (bases 194-842)
Source: RNAcentral